GGAGGGGAAUGAUUUAAAUGGUGCCAAAUAUGAGAAAGAAUCACUGGAAAUUUUGGAGAAUUUCAGUGUAUGAGUUUCAUGGAAGAUUGAGAUGUUAAGCAACACACGACACACUUCAUUAUGAAUUAAUUAUGGCUGGGAUAAUUGCUGAGAGCCAAGACUUCCAGUCAACUGUGAGAACCCAGAGCAGUGACAGAAUCUGAUCACCUACCGGUUUUCUGUACCACGAAGCUGAGAAGUCCUACCCCAAACUGAACAAAACAUUCAAGGUUGUUUUCCUUUAAAGCACGUCAUAGAAGUUAUCAUUAUAACCACUGGUUUAUUACUUCAUACCCAAUAAAGUGACUCACUGUUUGUUUUA
Molecule: long non-coding RNA, 361 nt
Organism: Lutra lutra (Eurasian river otter)
Lineage: Eukaryota; Metazoa; Chordata; Mammalia; Carnivora; Mustelidae
Exons: 2
Source: RefSeq, a predicted model, not a curated record